GGUCGGUUAGCUCAGUUGGCAGAGCAUCGCAAUUACAUGUUACAUGUAUCCUCUAAGAUAAGGAGUAAGAAGUACUGCGAAGGCUAUAGGUUCAAGCCCUAUACUGACCA
Xylariaceae sp. FL1019 is the source of this 110-nucleotide non-coding RNA. The record is from the annotation of a GenBank genome assembly. Lineage: Eukaryota; Fungi; Ascomycota; Sordariomycetes; Xylariales; Xylariaceae.